This 449-nucleotide ribosomal RNA is filed under the name uncultured bacterium. RNAcentral describes it as "partial 16S ribosomal RNA". It matches the Rfam family "Bacterial small subunit ribosomal RNA", at positions 29 to 523 of the family's 1533-position model. The record is from RNAcentral.
AACGAACGCUGGCGGCAUGCCUAACACAUGCAAGUCGAACGAAGGCUUCGGCCUUAGUGGCGCACGGGUGCGUAACGCGUGGGAAUCUGCCCCUCGGUUCGGAAUAACAGUUAGAAAUGACUGCUAAUACCGGAUGAUGACUUCGGUCCAAAGAUUUAUCGCCGAGGGAUGAGCCCGCGUAGGAUUAGGUAGUUGGUGGGGUAAAGGCCUACCAAGCCGACGAUCCUUAGCUGGUCUGAGAGGAUGAUCAGCCACACUGGGACUGAGACACGGCCCAGACUCCUACGGGAGGCAGCAGUGGGGAAUAUUGGACAAUGGGCGCAAGCCUGAUCCAGCAAUGCCGCGUGAGUGAUGAAGGCCUUAGGGUUGUAAAGCUCUUUUACCCGGGAUGAUAAUGACAGUACCGGGAGAAUAAGCUCCGGCUAACUCCGUGCCAGCCGCCGCCGUAA